AUUCCGCCCAAGCGGGGAAGGAUGAGAAGCUUCGACCAAGGUUCGACUUGAGCGCCAGCGAGAGAGCGUUGCCGCAGGCAACGACCCGAAGGGCGAAGCGCGCAGCGCUGAGUAAUCCUUCCCCCACCACCA
Molecule: small RNA, 132 nt
Filed under: Escherichia coli
Lineage: Bacteria; Pseudomonadati; Pseudomonadota; Gammaproteobacteria; Enterobacterales; Enterobacteriaceae
Description: RtT sRNA
Rfam family: RtT RNA
About the family: This family represents a bacterial cis-regulatory element known as RtT RNA. The exact function of RtT is unknown although it is thought that it may be involved in changing the cellular response in relation to amino acid starvation.
Source: RNAcentral